GAUGAACGCUGGCGGCGUGCCUAAUACAUGCAAGUCGAGCGAACGGACGAGAAGCUUGCUUCUCUGAUGUUAGCGGCGGACGGGUGAGUAACACGUGGAUAACCUACCUAUAAGACUGGGAUAACUUCGGGAAACCGGAGCUAAUACCGGAUAAUAUUUUGAACCUCAUGGUUCAAAAGUGAAAGACGGUCUUGCUGUCACUUAUAGAUGGAUCCGCGCUGCAUUAGCUAGUUGGUAAGGUAACGGCUUACCAAGGCAACGAUGCAUAGCCGACCUGAGAGCGUGAUCGGCCACACUGGAACUGAGACACGGUCCAGACUCCUACGGUAGGACGCAGUAGGGAAUCUUCCGCAAUGGGCGAAAGCCUGACGGAGCAACGCCGCGUGAGUGCUGAAGGUCUUCGGAUCGUAAAACUCUGUUAGUCGGGAAAAACAUAUGUGUAAGUAACUGUGAACAUAUUGACGGUACCUAAUCAGAAAGCCACGGCUAACUACGUG
This 497-nucleotide ribosomal RNA is filed under the name uncultured bacterium. Its description in RNAcentral is "partial 16S ribosomal RNA". It matches the Rfam family "Bacterial small subunit ribosomal RNA", at positions 28 to 507 of the family's 1533-position model. The record is from RNAcentral.